UUGCUUCAAAUAACCUAAGGAACCCCUCGUUUCCCGGAAGUGCUAUAAUUCUGAGACGCCUAUAUAGAUCGAGCUGAUACGAGACGAGAGUAGCCCCCGGCCUGCCGCGGCAACAACUCGCGUUAAUAAAGUUCACGUAGACGGUUCUCGGGCGGAGGAAGAUAGUAGCAGUUGACACGCACCCGACCGAAUCAGGAUGAAACGAAAUCGUGCGUCGCGGCCGAGAGAUUACGGAAGACCUCGAGCCACGAAACCUCCUUCGCGACACUUAUCUCGCUAACGAGUCUCGGCCUGGACAUACCGAUGGAUUUCGUCGAGGAGAGUCCAAAAAUCGAAGUCGCGCAUCGAGGAAUGUCAUUAAAAUAAGCCUUGUAUUCUCUUGUUGAAAAGUCACGGCGUUCAAAGUUGACGAAUUUUCAGCGUUUUUGACAGGUGGGCGCGCCAUAUUGACAGGCGACGCCGCUACAUAGCGGUACUACGCGUAACCUAGAACUACCAAAUGGCAGCACUACAGAUUCGGGACUUCGAUUUUUGGACAUUUCUCGACAAAAUCCGUUGGAAUGUACGCUGGAAAGUCAUAAAAAUAGAAACCCCCAAGGAAAAGUUUAACCAAAAAUAGUGCGAAAUAGAGGUUAUUGAAAGGUGUCUUUCGACACCUUCGCUAUAUAUACAUAUAUAUAGAGUGUUGAAGUCAAAUAUACUUCUGUAUGCGCGAAUAAGACUUCCAUGCUUGCCAAUAUUGAACUUGUGUACAAUGAGCAUACAUUUGCAGCCGUGCGGAUAGAGGAAGUCGUAUGAUAAGCGAUCGAUACAACGUGUUCGGUAAUAUCAUUUCGUUUGGGUAGUAUGUAAUAGCGUGAUAAUAGAAUUAUCCAAUUUCUGCUUCGGUUCAUUGAUACGACUGAUCCAAUUAAAAUGAAAUUGCUGCAACACUCUGCAUUAGGUUAAUGGAAGGUCUGAAAACAGAAUAAAAUGCAUCUGCUGGCGAUAAAGAUGGCUGACCUUUCAUGCGGUAGAAAGGAUGAGCGCUAAAGUCGGGGAUUCGAAGAUGACGACGUUAAUGCCAUCAAAAGAUUGCGGCAAACGUGGGAACGGAGGCAGUUAAUAUCGGGUCUUUCGAAAAAGCAGAGAAUAACAGGAGUUACCAUCGCACGUAGCCGCGCUCAAUUCUCGAUCGUGGCUCGUCGCCGAGCUGCUCUGUAUUCAGGCGAGUUGUAAACGCGCGGCUCGGGCUCAUAUUUUUAAAGGAAAUUCGUAAUCGAGUCGCGCGACGUAACGGAACAGCUCCACGUUCGUCUCACGUCGGCGAAACCGUCCGGGAUUGGCCGAAACAGCCGAACAGACGAACUACCACUAGAGCGGCACAGACGAUGAUUCAUACGGGGCAAACGCGAAGUGAUCUCAUCGUUCACGUCGUGCGAAUCGCUACUUGAAAACUGGACGAAGGCUCCGCUCUCCUGGCUUCCAUUCGACUCAUCUUGCGAUUCGACCGUACCGGUUAUCAGCGGAGCGAAAUAGAAUCCUGAUGACGCACAGUGGCUCUGGGAAACUAAUAAUUUGUAACCGAAAUUCAAUCCCUCAACUAUUGUACUUGAAGAAUAUAUUUGUUUUCCUGUGUAUCGACCACUCAGGAAUUCUGAAAUCCAAAAUAUUAACCUCAAAUAUUAACAACCUAAAAGUAGAAAUAUUAACAACCUGAGAAUAAACCUAAAAAUAUUAAUAACCUAACUCAGCGACUAGAUAGAGCGUUGUAAAGGCACAAAUACGAAAUUUAGAUUAAAA
Molecule: long non-coding RNA, 1782 nt
Organism: Megalopta genalis
Lineage: Eukaryota; Metazoa; Arthropoda; Insecta; Hymenoptera; Halictidae
Source: RefSeq, a predicted model, not a curated record